This 254-nucleotide ribosomal RNA is filed under the name uncultured bacterium. RNAcentral describes it as "partial 16S ribosomal RNA". It matches the Rfam family "Bacterial small subunit ribosomal RNA", at positions 524 to 776 of the family's 1533-position model. The record is from RNAcentral.
GACGUAGGGCGCGAGCGUUGUCCGGAUUUAUUGGGCGUAAAGAGCUCGUAGGCGGCUUGUUGCGUCGACUGUGAAAACACACGGCUCAACCGUGUGGUCUGCAGUCGAUACGGGCAGGCUAGAGUUCGGUAGGGGAGACUGGAAUUCCUGGUGUAGCGGUGAAAUGCGCAGAUAUCAGGAGGAACACCGGUGGCGAAGGCGGGUCUCUGGGCCGAUACUGACGCUGAGGAGCGAAAGCGUGGGGAGCGAACAGG